GCCACUCUGAGAACCAGUAGAUGGUAGGCCUAAAUGGUUAGGGUAACACUGGGGCCAAUGCCUUUAUCCGGGUUGCUGGAACAGGUUGUCAUUCUCCCUACCCAGGGGCCAUCUGCAUAGGGUAUUCAUGAUAGAGCAUUAGACGGGCAGGCCUUUAGUUUUCUCCUAACAGCACAGUUUCUUCUGAUCCAGUGAUUUUUAUUUGUUUGUUUUUGGAGACAGGGUUUCUCUGCGUAGCUCUGGCUGUCCUGAAACUUACUCUGUAGUCCAGGCUGGCCUUGAGCUCAGAGAUUCGAUUGCCUCUGCCUCCUGAGUGCUGGGAUUAAAGGUGUGUGCCACCACUGCCCAGAGAUCCAGUGAUUUUUAAUGGGCUCUAUCUAGGAUCAUGGGAACCCAGUUAUGUGAAGGCUGUCAGAAAAGAUUGGGGAAAAUGCAACUAUACCCGUGUUGUUUGGAUUAUUUUAAAUCAACUGCUCAUCCUUAGGAUUUUCCCCUUUUUUGGCCUAAGAAAAAGAAGAGGAACUGAGAGCAAGAGGGGAGAAUUCUCCUACAGCACCUCUUGCUUUGCAGACAACAACCAAAACCCCCUUGGGUUUGAGCAGGGCUGUGGACUUUUCUGUAGCCGGCUCCCACUCACAGCCUCUCUGGUCCUUAGAGCUCCCCUAGGUGGGAGGGAGACUUCUGAUUGGCCUGAUUUUACUUUUUUUGGUAGACAGGAACAUUCCUGGGGCUGUAGGAGAGGGUUUGGGAAAGAGGGAAUGCUGGAGUUUCAGAGUUCCUUCCCAGUUGGUCCGAUUGUCCAUAUCUGGGGCAGAAAGGUCUGUUGGGGCAGGGACCUGAGCCAGGUCUCUUCUGGGUGGGUGGAGAAGCUGGGCUCCCUGAGCCCUGAGUCACCACCAUGUGUUGUCUCCUUCUAGCUACAGGACUCCCCUGUCUGCUGGGAUAUUCCCCAACCUCAAGCCCAAUCGCAGUGUCUGCCAUGAAGACAGGGGCAUUGCCCCUCAGGUCCACUCCCUGAAGUCAGUUCUUGCCGAGCUCCUCUAGAGGGCGCUGGAGGCCAAGCAGAGGAGGCGGCGCCAACAUGCGCAGAUUGACACUUCCAGGAACUGCUGUUAGAGAUGAUGCUUGUUGGAAAAGACGCAGCAAACCUGAUGCCUGUAAACCUCUCUGGUCCCUCUCUCCUUUUGUCCUUCCCUUCCUUCUUUUUUGUUUUGAGACAGGGUCUCGCUCUGUACCCCAAGCUGGCUUCAGACUCAGCUUCUAAGUGCUGAGAUCACAAGUGUGAGUCACCAGGCCAGGCUUCCUUUCCUUUUUUGAUCCUAAUGAAGCAAAUCGCAUGUAAAUAAACUGAUUUGUUACAG
This 1361-nucleotide long non-coding RNA is filed under the name Cricetulus griseus (Chinese hamster). Its description in RNAcentral is "lncRNA (ENSCGRG00015040724.1)". The record is from RNAcentral. Lineage: Eukaryota; Metazoa; Chordata; Mammalia; Rodentia; Cricetidae.